UCGCGCCAGACAUUCCACAAUCCUCAUCCAGCCUACAUCGGCAAUCUUACGUAGAUCGUCGGUCCAAUGGACCGGUGGACGUCCCACAUUGCGUUUGCCAAAACGCGG
Long non-coding RNA from Melitaea cinxia (Glanville fritillary), 108 nucleotides. RefSeq lists it as uncharacterized. Lineage: Eukaryota; Metazoa; Arthropoda; Insecta; Lepidoptera; Nymphalidae. The transcript is spliced from 3 exons. The record is from RefSeq and is a predicted model, not a curated record.